Molecule: ribosomal RNA, 459 nt
Filed under: uncultured bacterium
Lineage: Bacteria
Description: partial 16S ribosomal RNA
Rfam family: Bacterial small subunit ribosomal RNA
Source: RNAcentral
CCUACGAGUGGCAGCAGUGAGGAAUAUUGGUCAAUGGACGAGAGUCUGAACCAGCCAAGUAGCGUGAAGGAUGACUGCCCUAUGGGUUGUAAACUUAUUUAUAAAGGAAUAAAACGAGGCACGUGUGCCUUUUUGCAUGUACUUUAUGAAUAAGGAUCGGCUAACGCCGUGCCAGCAGCCGCGGUAAUACGGAGGAUCCGAGCGUUAUCCGGAUUUAUUGGGUUUAAAGGGAGCGUAGAUGGGUUGUUAAGUCAGUGGUGAAGGUUUGCGGCUCAACCGUAAAAUUGCAAUUGAUACUGUCAGUCUUGAGUAUAGUGGAGGUAGGCGGAAUUCGUGGUGUAGCGUUGAAAUGCUUAGAUAUCACGAAGAACCCCGAUUGCGAAGGCAGCUUACUAAACUGUGACUGACAUUGAUGCUCGAAAGUGUGGGUAUCAAACAGGAUUAGAUACCCGUGUAGGC